This 413-nucleotide ribosomal RNA is filed under the name bacterium enrichment culture clone ALO1_GLFRUDD03F1A7A. RNAcentral describes it as "bacterial SSU rRNA". It matches the Rfam family "Bacterial small subunit ribosomal RNA", at positions 9 to 424 of the family's 1533-position model. The record is from RNAcentral. RNAcentral also lists the same sequence under 12 other names.
GAGUUUGAUCGUGGCUCAGAUUGAACGCUGGCGGCAUGCCUUACACAUGCAAGUCGAACGGCAGCACGGGAGCUUGCUCCUGGUGGCGAGUGGCGAACGGGUGAGUAAUGCAUCGGAACGUAUCCUGGAGUGGGGGAUAACGUAGCGAAAGUUACGCUAAUACCGCAUAUUCUGUGAGCAGGAAAGCGGGGGACCUUCGGGCCUCGCGCUCUUGGAGCGGCCGAUGUCGGAUUAGCUAGUUGGUGAGGUAAAGGCUCACCAAGGCGACGAUCCGUAGCAGGUCUGAGAGGAUGAUCUGCCACACUGGAACUGAGACACGGUCCAGACUCCUACGGGAGGCAGCAGUGGGGAAUUUUGGACAAUGGGGGCAACCCUGAUCCAGCCAUGCCGCGUGAGUGAAGAAGGCCUCGGUU